This 76-nucleotide transfer RNA is filed under the name Candidatus Hydrogenedentota bacterium. Its description in RNAcentral is "tRNA-Phe". It matches the Rfam family "tRNA". Rfam says of the family: Transfer RNA (tRNA) molecules are approximately 80 nucleotides in length. Their secondary structure includes four short double-helical elements and three loops (D, anti-codon, and T loops). Lineage: Bacteria; Pseudomonadati; Candidatus Hydrogenedentota. The record is from RNAcentral.
GCCGGGAUAGCUCAGUUGGUAGAGCAGCGGACUGAAAAUCCGCGUGUCGGCAGUUCGACUCUGCCUCCUGGCACCA